Molecule: long non-coding RNA, 1090 nt
Organism: Anneissia japonica
Lineage: Eukaryota; Metazoa; Echinodermata; Crinoidea; Comatulida; Comatulidae
Exons: 3
Source: RefSeq, a predicted model, not a curated record
GUCCCUUUUGUUAAUACUUAUACGCAAAUGUUGGCAACAAAGUAUCCAAAUAAAAGAAAUGAAUUGCCGCCGUACCGUACUGAGAGUAAAAACUUGCAAUGCUAUUUUUGACAUACCGGUAAUUAUUUUUCUAUAAAACUAAAAUAUUUUUGAUUAUCUACUUCAACCAGAUGCGAGGGUUUAUCUAAGAAACAGUUUUCUGAUCUGGGCGAUCUUCUUGAAGAUAUGGACUAUUAUUGUCAACACUGCUGCGGCCGGCCGUACCACUUUGGUAACUCCUUGUAUAGGCUAAUGGCAUCAGGUCAAGCUGGCUCGUUAAUGUCGAGUAUCCAGAUGGAAAAGAUCCUCUUGAGAAAUAACAAGAGCCUCUCGGAUGCAGGCAGUUCCCACCAUCCCAAUUCUUGCAAGACUGAUGAGGUUGCUCAGAGAAUACUGAUGAGAUUUGGUCCAACUUCUACAUCGAAGCCAGUUGCUGUGCGAGGAGUUGGAAACUGUCAAUGCGAUAUCGGUUGCUGUUAGUGGAAAUGAUUUAUUGGCACCAGAACUGAGAGUUAGAACAGCAAUCGAAAUGUUCGAACAACGCGACUAUUAUGAAAAGUCGAAAGCAAAUGUACGAUUGAAAUAUUUUUCUCCUGACUCUGGUGAUGCUUCAAGUCUAUGCUUACUGAGUGGGGCCUAUUCAUCUGCGUGGACAAUGCAUACUGCAGCAUCUGUUGUCGGAAGGACUUUUGAAUCCGUAUGUCCACAAAUUAAUGGUAUACAGGACAGAUGUUUCAGAGAACUCAAUCGGCAAUUCCAACCAAGAAAGUUGACACAUAAGAAACCAAUUUCAAUAAUGUGGACCGGCAAUCUGACCAAACGUGGUACGUGGAUCUCGAACCAUUUUGUGCCCCUCUUACAAGUCAAGGAGAUGGACGUUGUAUAUCAAGUCCUGACUAAUCGCCUGUUCGUGUCAUGUCUGACUGGCCAUCGUUAGAAGAGGCAUAUGGUACCAAAGUGACGUCGCCAGCAGAUGUGGAAGACUUGAUGUCACCAGCUAAAGAAGUAGUUGGAGUGAACCUGUUUAUGUUCAACACCAUCACCAUCGCAU